Molecule: ribosomal RNA, 661 nt
Filed under: Salmonella enterica
Lineage: Bacteria; Pseudomonadati; Pseudomonadota; Gammaproteobacteria; Enterobacterales; Enterobacteriaceae
Description: partial 23S ribosomal RNA
Rfam family: Bacterial large subunit ribosomal RNA
Source: RNAcentral
AGACCCGAAACCCGGUGAUCUAGCCAUGGGCAGGUUGAAGGUUGGGUAACACUAACUGGAGGACCGAACCGACUAAUGUUGAAAAAUUAGCGGAUGACCUGUGGCUGGGGGUGAAAGGCCAAUCAAACCGGGAGAUAGCUGGUUCUCCCCGAAAGCUAUUUAGGUAGCGCCUCGUGAAUUCAUCUCCGGGGGUAGAGCACUGUUUCGGCUAGGGGGCCAUCCCGGCUUACCAACCCGAUGCAAACUGCGAAUACCGGAGAAUGUUAUCACGGGAGACACACGGCGGGUGCUAACGUCCGUCGUGAAGAGGGAAACAACCCAGACCGCCAGCUAAGGUCCCAAAGUCAUGGUUAAGUGGGAAACGAUGUGGGAAGGCCCAGACAGCCAGGAUGUUGGCUUAGAAGCAGCCAUCAUUUAAAGAAAGCGUAAUAGCUCACUGGUCGAGUCGGCCUGCGCGGAAGAUGUAACGGGGCUAAACCAUGCACCGAAGCUGCGGCAGCGACGCUUAUGCGUUGUUGGGUAGGGGAGCGUUCUGUAAGCCUGUGAAGGUGGCCUGUGAGGGUUGCUGGAGGUAUCAGAAGUGCGAAUGCUGACAUAAGUAACGAUAAAGCGGGUGAAAAGCCCGCUCGCCGGAAGACCAAGGGUUCCUGUCCAACGUUAA